Molecule: RNA transcript, 2348 nt
Organism: Papaver somniferum (opium poppy)
Lineage: Eukaryota; Viridiplantae; Streptophyta; Magnoliopsida; Ranunculales; Papaveraceae
Gene name: endoglucanase 12-like
Exons: 6
Source: RefSeq, a predicted model, not a curated record
UAGGCACUCACUGGUUUGGACAGUGAAUGAGUGUUAAACCCUUUGCUCUUAAAAUCCGCUUCUUUAAAUCUCACAUCUCCAACCUCAACAGUCAACUCUCACAAACCAAAGACUAAUAAUCCUACCCCAAUCUCAAAAUCAAAACCCAUGUACCAGAUCGGAAAGGAAAUCCCUCUUUUGUAACCCUGGAUUUAACCAAAAUCAAACCAUCUCAUUCAGCUCGUUCAUUUUCUGUAUGAUAAGGAGAUUAAUAUCCUGCAUAUCCAUACAACUUCACCGAAUCAAGCAUGAUUCCGAAACCUAAUCCGAAACUCAUCUUUGAAUCAAAACCCAUCUCUCUUUUUCUUUGAAUCAAAACCCAUCUCAGAAUCAGAAUUUUAUAUCCCUAAUUUUGUAACCCUAGAUUCGAAUUAAUUUUUCUCCUGAAUCAAAACCCUCGUCUCGUAUUCGACAGAGAUGAGAGUACGAGAAGAAGAUUUCACCAGGUAUAAACCCUAAUAUUUUUAUCUAUCAUUGCUUGAUUUUGCGUCUUUUCUUAUGUAGUAUUUUGUAAAGAUUUUGCAAUUUUUCUUUCCGUUUACUAUUUGGAGUUUUAAAGCAUGGAUUUCUUUUGAUUUCAGUUUUUUGGUGUUUUAACUGUUUGUUUGUGGUAUUGAUUUGAUGGUUUUAUCUUGGCACUUUCAUCUCUUUGAAACUGUUUCAAUCGAUGAGCCUGCACCUGGUCUCAAGGCAAUUUUUAACUUUGUUGUUCCCGAUCAAAGGUUUGGCAAGGGUAUCCUGGAAACGCGGGUGUUUCCUGGAGGGAAUCACACCGCUGAAUCAGGUGGUUGGGACUAUGGCAGGAGUAGGUAUUGUAAGUAAACUAAUGCAACAAAUUAUAUUGCUGAGGUGGUGAUGGCUGUAGUUGUGGCCAUUUCUCUAAGGCAUUCAGUGGAUUCUAAUUUCAGAAGUGGUCGUUGGAUAUCCAAUUUUCACACUGCUACUGGGUUCAAGACUGAAUUCUGGAGAUAGAGUGGGCCGUGGGUGUGGCUUCGAACUCUUCAACCUCACCAGAAUAUUGCUGGCAAAUACCGGAAGAUUUGGAUCAUGUGCCUGUGUAUGGAGCUAAAUCAGUAGAGCCUGAUCUAGCCGGACAAAUGGCAGCAGCACUUGGAGCCGCAUCAAUCCUCUUUACAAAUGACAACGCCUACUCGGCGAAGAUAGUUGAUGAUGCGGAAGUACUUUCCAAAUUUGCUUCAGCACCUGGCAACCACCAUCCUUACAGUUUCGUCAGAGCUUUGCUCGUAUUGAUUUUUUUCAGAGGUAUGGAAUAACCGAGUCCACUGCUGUAAGAACGUGUGGUUUGAAUAUUAAAUAUUUACGAAACUAUACUUCAGUAGAACUGUUGGCUCCAAAUAUGCAAGCUAAAGUUGUGCAUUGGGACACUGCUUCAUGUUGUUCCCAGGCAAAAGUGGUGAACUAUGGAUUCAUGGACUUGGCAUCAUGAAAGAACAUUUCAAGGAUACUGAAUGACGCCGAUGCAACAAAGUCCACAGUGCUGCACACAGGAGACAUUGCCUACAUCGAUCAAGAUGGUUACUCGUAUAUAUUGGAUCGCUUGAAAGACGCAAUUAAAUACAAGGGAUUUUAGUCAUACCCGAUGUUGCAGUAAUGGUGGUAUCCCAUUCUCAGUCGAACAGUGCAUGAUAAUCCACGGACAUGGCACGAACAACUGCCCAUAGCACUAUGGGCAUAUCGAGCGACAUCUAGAAGCUCCACAGGCGUCUCCCCCUAUUCACUUGUCUAUGGCGCGGAUGCAGUUCUCUCAGCGGAGAUUAAAAUUCCAUCGGCCAGAAUUGCAGCAGCAAGUGGAGUUCAAUGGGAUGAAGCCGCAACAUCAAGUGCCAGAAUAGCAGAGCUAGAUACUCUGGACUCCAAGAGAACUAAGGCGAAAGAACAUACUCAGGUAUACAGAAAUGAGUUUCUAGGGCAUACGAUAAGGCCGUAAAACCUCGGGUUUUUCAAAUAGGAGAUCUGGUAUUGAAGACUGCUAAUCACAUUCAACAAGACAUGUCUGCACGAAAUUCUCUCCAAAAUGGGAAGGACCUUAUGUGGUUACCAAAGCGUAUAACAUUGGGUACUACAAGAUUGUCAAAGAAGAUGGAGACAAAUUGGAAGCGGUCAUCAAUGGAAAAUGAAUCAAGGCGUACUACGCGUGACCAUCACUCCAUCUCUCGCUGUUUCACGACACAGCCAGCCAGGCAUUUUCCGUUUCCCUCAUUUUUCAGUUAUCAAAUUUCAUUUCGUCAGAACGUAUUAAUGAAAAUUCCAUUUGCUUUUCCCAAAACCAAUACAAUUCAAAAAAAAAA